Molecule: long non-coding RNA, 855 nt
Organism: Strigops habroptila (Kakapo)
Lineage: Eukaryota; Metazoa; Chordata; Aves; Psittaciformes; Psittacidae
Exons: 2
Source: RefSeq, a predicted model, not a curated record
GAUUCCAUUUGGCAUUUAGUUAAGGUAUAAGAGGCAUGAGGCAAGCAAGUGACUGGAUUUUUACAUGAAAUGCUAUGCAUGUAGAUGGAAAGUGAAGAGCCUCCAAGUGUUCUAAUUAUUGCUACCAUCGGGCACAAUCCAAGGAGUCAAAUGUUAAAUAAUCAAUGGCUUUCUGGGAGGUAGUUUAUGGUAAUUAGCUUUGGGGGUGAGAAAUAUCAUACAAAUUGUUGGCAACUCAACUAGAAUCAUUAAAGUUGGAGAAAAGGUGCACAUCAAUUUUUAUUGACACUGGAGAUUACAUUAUACACUUGCUAAUGAGCAAGACUGAGUUGACUGCUAAUGCAGAGAUGAUGUGUCCAGAAAGCCUGUACUUCAGUCAAGUAGCUACCUCACUGUAGCAUACUGAAAUAAGCACAAGGAUUCUCUGUUACCAGAAUCUUUCUGAUUUUAGGGAAAACUGAAAACUAAAAGGGAUUAAGUGGUCUUUUUGAAGAACUUCAGUGGUCUUUGCAAUUCUCUAUUGAUCAAUGAAUGUUACAAAAUUAUAUUACAACAUAGUACAAUUAUGUCACUUUUUUUACUCAUAUGCUUAAUAUGUCGAUAGCCCAAAUGUGUCUCAGAUUAAAAGAAAAGUAAUGAUGAGAGCUGAUGUGGAAGGGAAGUAGGAUGCUGGGGGACACAAAGACAUGAUUUGAAGUAGAAGAGGGGAACUAGUGGCGUGUAAAACUAAUGAUGUUGAAGAGAACUUUACUUUGGGAUGAUGGAAAAAAAGGUAUAUUAGAAGAAUAAGGAACAUCAAAGUUGCAGAGGAGAGAAAACAUUUUAAUAAGAGAUUGAUCACAGUGAAGAAAAGUG